GCGGGUGUAACUCAGUUGGUAGAGUAUCAGCUUCCCAAGCUGAGGGUCGCGGGUUCGAGUCCCGUCACCCGCUCCA
Molecule: transfer RNA, 76 nt
Filed under: bacterium
Lineage: Bacteria
Also listed under: 1 other name
Description: tRNA-Gly
Rfam family: tRNA
About the family: Transfer RNA (tRNA) molecules are approximately 80 nucleotides in length.
Source: RNAcentral